Molecule: ribosomal RNA, 503 nt
Filed under: uncultured bacterium
Lineage: Bacteria
Description: partial 16S ribosomal RNA
Rfam family: Bacterial small subunit ribosomal RNA
Source: RNAcentral
AUUGAACGCUGGCGGCAGGCUUAACACAUGCAAGUCGAGCGGGGUGAUGGUGCUUGCACUAUCACUUAGCGGCGGACGGGUGAGUAAUGCUUAGGAAUCUGCCUAUUAGUGGGGGCCAACAGCUCGAAAGGGAUGCUAAUACCGCAUACGUCCUACGGGAGAAAGCAGGGGAUCACUUGUGACCUUGCGCUAAUAGAUGAGCCUAAGUCGGAUUAGCUAGUUGGUGGGGUAAAGGCCUACCAAGGCGACGAUCUGUAGCGGGUCUGAGAGGAUGAUCCGCCACACUGGGACUGAGACACGGCCCAGACUCCUACGGGAGGCAGCAGUGGGGAAUAUUGGACAAUGGGGGGAACCCUGAUCCAGCCAUGCCGCGUGUGUGAAGAAGGCCUUAUGGUUGUAAAGCACUUUAAGUGAGGAGGAGGCUCUUUUGGUUAAUACCCAAGAUGAGUGGACGUUACUCGCAGAAUAAGCACCGGCUAACUCUGUGCCAGCAGCCGCCGUAA